RNAcentral lists this ribosomal RNA (264 nucleotides) under uncultured bacterium. RNAcentral's name for it is "partial 16S ribosomal RNA". It matches the Rfam family "Bacterial small subunit ribosomal RNA", at positions 57 to 305 of the family's 1533-position model. The record is from RNAcentral.
GCAAGUCGAGCGCGAAAGUCCCUUCGGGGGCGAGUAGAGCGGCGAAAGGGUGAGUAAUGCUUGGGCAACUUACCCCUUGGACCGGGAUAGCCACUGGAAACGGUGGGUAAUACCGGAUGGUCUCGCGAACACUGCGGUGGUUGCGAGUAAACGCGGGGGUCCUUAGGGACCUCGCGCCGAGGGAGAGGCCCGAGUUCUACCAGCUUGUUGGUGAGGUAAUGGCUCACCAAGGCGAAGACGGAUAGCCGGACUGAGAGGUUGGCC